RNAcentral lists this ribosomal RNA (465 nucleotides) under Vreelandella stevensii. RNAcentral describes it as "partial 16S ribosomal RNA". It matches the Rfam family "Bacterial small subunit ribosomal RNA", at positions 338 to 795 of the family's 1533-position model. The record is from RNAcentral. Lineage: Bacteria; Pseudomonadati; Pseudomonadota; Gammaproteobacteria; Oceanospirillales; Halomonadaceae.
CCUACGGGAGGUAGCAGUGGGGAAUAUUGGACAAUGGGGGCAACCCUGAUCCAGCCAUGCCGCGUGUGUGAAGAAGGCCCUCGGGUUGUAAAGCACUUUCAGUGAGGAAGAACGCCUGGUGGUUAAUACCCAUCAGGAAAGACAUCACUCACAGAAGAAGCACCGGCUAACUCCGUGCCAGCAGCCGCGGUAAUACGGAGGGUGCGAGCGUUAAUCGGAAUUACUGGGCGUAAAGCGCGCGUAGGUGGCUUGAUAAGCCGGUUGUGAAAGCCCCGGGCUCAACCUGGGAACGGCAUCCGGAACUGUCAAGCUAGAGUGCAGGAGAGGAAGGUAGAAUUCCCGGUGUAGCGGUGAAAUGCGUAGAGAUCGGGAGGAAUACCAGUGGCGAAGGCGGCCUUCUGGACUGACACUGACACUGAGGUGCGAAAGCGUGGGUAGCAAACAGGACUAGAUACCCUUGUAGUC